CUAGUAAUCGCGGAUCAGCAUGCCGCGGUGAAUACGUUCCCGGGCCUUGUACACACCGCCCGUCACACCACGAGAGCUUGCAACACCCGAAGUCGGUGAGGUAACCCGCAAGGGAGCCAGCCGCCGAAGGUGGGGCAAGUGAUUGGGGUGAAGUCGUAACAAGGUAGCCGUACCGGAAGGUGCGGCUGGAUCACCUCCUUUCUAAGGA
Molecule: ribosomal RNA, 208 nt
Filed under: Geobacillus stearothermophilus
Lineage: Bacteria; Bacillati; Bacillota; Bacilli; Caryophanales; Anoxybacillaceae
Description: partial 16S ribosomal RNA
Rfam family: Bacterial small subunit ribosomal RNA
Source: RNAcentral